Molecule: ribosomal RNA, 494 nt
Filed under: uncultured marine bacterium
Lineage: Bacteria
Description: bacterial SSU rRNA
Rfam family: Bacterial small subunit ribosomal RNA
Source: RNAcentral
AACGCUAGCGGCAGGCCUAACACAUGCAAGUCGAGGGGUAACAUUGUGCUUGCACAGAUGACGACCGGCGCACGGGUGCGUAACGCGUAUGCAAUCUACCUUUUACAGGGGAAUAGCCCAGAGAAAUUUGGAUUAAUGCCUCAUAGUAUAUAGAAAUGGCAUCAUUNNNAUAUUAAAGAUUUAUCGGUAAAAGAUGAGCAUGCGUUCUAUUAGUUAGUUGGUAAGGUAACGGCUUACCAAGACCGCGAUAGAUAGGGGUCCUGAGAGGGAGAUCCACACUGGUACUGAGACACGGACCAGACUCCUACGGGAGGCAGCAGUGAGGAAUAUUGGACAAUGGGCGAGAGCCUGAUCCAGCCAUGCCGCGUGCAGGAAGACUGCCCUAUGGGUUGUAAACUGCCCUUAUACAGGAAGAAACACUGCUACGUGUAGCAGCUUGACGGUACUGUAAGAAUAAGGAUCGGCUAACUCCGUGCCAGCAGCCGCGGUAAUAC